This is a long non-coding RNA of Sitophilus oryzae (rice weevil), 1343 nucleotides long. RefSeq lists it as uncharacterized. NCBI's taxonomy places the organism in Eukaryota, Metazoa, Arthropoda, Insecta, Coleoptera, Curculionidae. The transcript has 3 exons. The record is from RefSeq and is a predicted model, not a curated record.
CAAAAAUAAUUUGAAAUCAGAUUUUGUUAAAUAUUUAUAUAUUACAGUUACUUAAUGUUACAAAAAUACAAAACUUAGACGUCACAAACAUUGGGAAUAACUUCACAGAUUAGUAAGCAGUUCAUUAGCAACAGUUAUUCUUAGCAUUGUCGUGAUUAUUUCUAGAACUCCUCCCAUUACCAUUACAGUCGGAACGGUUGUUUCCAUUCCCAUUCACAUUCUUAGCACAAGGAUCACAACAAACACUGGGACAGGGACAAAAAUUCACAAACAUAGGCUGUCCAGGCAGUUGACUAUAGAUUAUCUGUUCUGGCAUACCCGGCAAACAGUAUGGAACGUACUGAAUAGGAUAACAGAUUGGAGGAUCUUCUGAACCCAUUUUAAUUCACUAAAAAUUUUGAAAUUAAAACCAAACUGAAGUUAAUUUUUAGAUAUUUAAAUUAUUUUGCAAAUUGUGUUUCUAUGGUUUCACAUUUUCUUUUAUCUUUCAAGUUACUAGAUUGAAAUUUUGACGUUUUUCAUAGACAGUUAUUAAUCAAAUUUUAAUUUAUCUUUUCCUCAAAAUUUCCAGUUUUUUUAAUUAGAAAUGAACUGCCCACCACCUGCUUUUGCUCCUUGUGCCCCUGCAUUGGCCAGACCUUGUUGGCAAAUACCUUAUCCCUGUCCUGCUCUUAUGGGAGACAUUAAAUAUGUCUUAAGGCCCUGCUGUCCCCCAUGUGGAGGUGUUGAAAUACCAUUACCAAAUUAUAAUCCACCAAAGUGUUAAGAAAAAAAUGUUUAUUAUUUCAUUUGAACAAAAACAACGGUACCAUUAAUUUUAUAGAAAUACACAAGGUUGUAAAUAAUUAACUGCCAGUUUAAACCAAAGAAUAUACCUAGCUAGGUUUAAACUAGUAUUGGAUUUAGUCAAGUUAUCUUAGAUAUGAAAUGGAUAUGAAUUACUGUCAGUAACCAUAGCAAUGAAGAAACUCGUUUAAAAAACAGAAAACUACACAAAACUAUCUAAUUUAACUGAAGCCUAUAUUAAUUUAAACAAAAAUGGCGGAUUGUUGUUGUCCUCUUACUGGGGUUGCCUGUGUACCAUGUACUCCGCCACCUGCGGUGGCUUGUGCACCACUUGCCCAACCUUCUACCCCUGCGACGUUAAUCUAUAUUCCCAUGGUGGUACCCUGUCCAUGCCCAUGUCCUUGUUCUUGUCCGCCAUCUCCCUGUUGCCCGAGCAGAUGUUAAUGUAAAAAAAUAGUUUAAAUCAAGUAAGGAGUAAAUAUUGUAUGUACGAUUUUACGUUUGUGAAACUACAAUGUUGUUUAUAAUCUGUAAUAAAAGCUGUUAUUUAAAGUUUA